GAUGAACGCUAGCUACAGGCUUAACACAUGCAAGUCGAGGGGAAACGACAUCGAAAGCUUGCUUCCGAUGGGCGUCGACCGGCGCACGGGUGAGUAACGCGUAUCCAACCUGCCCACCACUUGGGGAUAACCUUGCGAAAGUAAGACUAAUACCCAAUGAUAUCUCUAGAAGACAUCUAAAAGAGAUUAAAGAUUUAUCGGUGAUGGAUGGGGAUGCGUCUGAUUAGCUUGUUGGCGGGGUAACGGCCCACCAAGGCGACGAUCAGUAGGGGUUCUGAGAGGAAGGUCCCCCACAUUGGAACUGAGACACGGUCCAAACUCCUACGGGAGGCAGCAGUGAAGAAUAUUGGUCAAUGGACGAGAGUCUGAACCAGCCGAGUAGCGUGCAGGAAGACGGCCCUAUGGGUUGUAAGCUGCUUUUAUAAGGGAAUAAAGUGAGUCUCGUGAGACUUUUUGCAUGUACCUUAUGAAUAAGGACCGGCUAAUUCCGUGCCAGCCGCCGCGGUAA
Molecule: ribosomal RNA, 508 nt
Filed under: uncultured bacterium
Lineage: Bacteria
Description: partial 16S ribosomal RNA
Rfam family: Bacterial small subunit ribosomal RNA
Source: RNAcentral